This 50-nucleotide transfer RNA is filed under the name Parasteatoda cingulata. Its description in RNAcentral is "tRNA-Asp". Lineage: Eukaryota; Metazoa; Arthropoda; Arachnida; Araneae; Theridiidae. The record is from RNAcentral.
AGUAGUUAAAUUAAUAUUAGUUUGUCAAAUUAAAGAUGAAAAAUAUACCU